UACGAGAGGCCCAAACGUUAUUCGGAAUUACUGGGCUUAAAGAGUUCGUAGGUGGCGCAGAAAGUAGGGUGUGAAAGCCCUCGGCUUAACCGAGGAAUUGCGCUCUAAACUACUGUGCUUGAGGAACCUAGAGGUGAGCAGAACUGAUGGUGGAGCGGUGAAAUGCGUUGAUAUCAUCAGGAAUACCGGAGGCGAAGGCGGCUCACUGGGGGUUUUCUGACGCUGAGGAACGAAAGCCAGGGGAGCGAACGGG
RNAcentral lists this ribosomal RNA (253 nucleotides) under uncultured bacterium. RNAcentral's name for it is "partial 16S ribosomal RNA". It matches the Rfam family "Bacterial small subunit ribosomal RNA", at positions 524 to 776 of the family's 1533-position model. The record is from RNAcentral.